This 2789-nucleotide long non-coding RNA is filed under the name Homo sapiens (human). RNAcentral's name for it is "non-protein coding lnc-EIF3A-2:3". Lineage: Eukaryota; Metazoa; Chordata; Mammalia; Primates; Hominidae. The record is from RNAcentral.
GGGAUCUGCCGCUCUGUGGUCCAGUUGGUCAUCUGCAGGUGCAGUCUCCAGCAAACGAUCACAAGCUCUUUAAGAUGUGCCUGGGCUUGGGGGGACCUGUCUCGCGGGCUUUUGUGGAACCUUCAAUUCCUGGAUUGUAAAGCAGGGCUGCAGGUCUCCUGGGAUGAGCUCCAGCCAAGAGAUUUCUCACCCUUAAAUAAAAGGGCACGCAGUGGCAUGGAACCACGCUGACACCUAUCACUGUUAAACGAGGCCAGGACACAGUCUGAUCUCCAUCUCCACUUUUUGUUGUUGUUAAAUGAAACGGAAGAGCAUCUCCCUGCAGAAGUAAACCACGCACAGAGCCCUAAUGACAUCAUUGCUUCAGCCCCUGGAUCCAGCCAGGCCUGAAGCAGGAUAACCCUGGACUUCCCAGUGAGUGCAUGUAAGGAAAACGACUCCAAAGUGCUGACUUCAGUCCCUGGGACUCCCUCGCUGCAGGAUGAAGCUGGAGGAGGCUGCAGAGGAGGCAGCCUGACGUCAAGCACACAGCUCACCUCGGAGCUCUGCCUGUCCAGAUGGCCUGAUCCUCAUGUCCCCACCUGGCCUGCUGACUCCCUCCUGGCUGAAGGGUGGAAAUGAAUCCUUGUACGGAAUAAGCCUCUCCGGCCCGACCUGGGAAUGAGUAACAGCUUAGCUGGUGACCUUUGCCCUGGGACGACAGCUCUGGACAGCUGCAGGAGGCUUCGUUGGGAUGGGGGUGGCCCAUUGUGGGGUGCCUGGCAGGAGUCUCUGAGCCAUGUCUUUAGAAGGUACGAGUGCAGGACACAGUUCUUUUGUGGUCUGAGAUCUGUGCUUAGGCAGAGAACUGUGUCCAGAGAGUCAGGCUGUAAAGUGGGGAGCCUCCCGUGAGGGCUGCAGCAUUCCCGUGCAGAUCCCUAAUUUCCAAUCUGGACUCUAGAAGACUUUGGUUCUCUUCCUGGCUCUGGCCUCUGCUGGGACCCUGGAGGUGUCUCCUUUCUCCUUCAAGUUUUUCAUCAGCAAUGCCAGGAUUUGGUAAUGACAUGAGUCCCUCCUGGCUCAGAUAGCCCAGCAUCACUGUCACCCUGGGAUCCCUUUGCUGACAUCCCAGUCCCAGACCAGUAACUGCAGCUCAGAGUACCUGAGGCUCCCCAGCUGUUUCCACGGCUUCCCUGUGCCUCAACCCUUAUGACCUUGUUAUUCCCCAGAAAUUCUGCAGCAUGGCAGGCUGGGCUCCCCGCUCCCUGGGGGAGCCUUGUGCUGUGUCACUUCCUCAGACCCCUGCCUGAGCCUGUCCCCUUGUGGGGGACCAGAGUGUAUACCUCACCUGAGCUAGCUUUCUGUUGCUGCUAUACAUAUUACCACAAACUUAGUGGCUUAGAACCCCACACUGUAUUAUCUUACAGUUCUGGAGGGUCAGAAGUUUGACACAAGUCUCACUGGCCUAAAACCAAGGUGCUGGCAGGUCUGACUCCUUCUGAAGGCUCUAGGGGUAUAUUAGUCUAUUCUCAUGCUGCUUAUAAAGACAUACCCGAGACUGGGUAAUUUAUAAAGAAAAAGAGGUUUAAUGGACUCGCAGUUCCAUAUGGCUGGGGAGGCCUCACAAUUAUGGUGGAAGGCAAAGGAAGAGCAAAGGGAUGUCUUACAUGGCAACAGGCAAGAGAACUUGUACAGGGGAACUCCCAUUUAUAAAACCAUCAGAUCUUGUGAGACUUAUUCACUACCAUGAGAACAGCAUGGGAAAGGCCCACCCCCAUGAUUCAAUUACCUCCCACUGGGUCCUUCCCACGACAUGCGGGGAUUAUGGGAGCUACAAUUCAAGAUGAGAUUUGGAUGGGGACAUAGCCAGUCCAUAUCAAGGGGAGAACCCACUUCCUUGCCUUUUCCAACUUCUAGAGGCUGCCUGCAUUCCUUGGCUCAUGGCCCUUUCCUCCAUCUUCAAAGCCAGCUUUGGGGCUCUGUCACCCUUCUUGUAUUGCAUUUCUAACCCACUCUGCCACCUCCUCCACUUCUAAGGACUCAUGGGUUAGGUUGGGCCCAUCUGGAUAAUGCCACAUAAUCUCCUCAUUUCAAAGCCUUAACUUUCUUCACAUCUGCAAGUCCUGUGAUCAUGUAAGGACACCUUUUCAUGGGUUCUAGGGAUUAGGCUGGGGAUAGUUUUGCCGGGAGCAUUCUUCUGCCUACCACCCCACCCAAUCUGAGGCUUGGGGUUUGCGCAGGGCACCAUGAUAGUUUUCCUCUGGGGUCUCAGCUCAGGUGCUAGAAGGGCACCUCCUCUCUGGAACCCUCUGUGAUUGCACCAGGCAGAGGCAACUGCCCUUCCUCUGGCAACCACCACCCCCAGCACACUUGUCAUGCUUGUGUGACAGUGCCUGUGGGUAGGUCUCCCCUGUUAAUUGGGAACAAGUGGGUAGUGUCAGGCCUCUGAGCCCAAGCUAAGCCAUCAUAUCCCCUGUGACCAGCAUGUAUACAUCCAGAUGGCCUGAAGCAACUGAAGAUCUACAAAAGAAGUGAAAAUAGCCUUAACUGAUGACAUUCCACCAUUGUGAUUUGUUUCUGCCCCACCCUAACUGAUCAAUGUACUUUGUAAUCUCCCCCACCCUUAAGAGGGUUCUUUGUAAUUCUCCCCACCCUUGAGAAUGUACUUUGUGAGAGCCACCCUCUGCCCGAAAAACAUUGCUCCUAACUCCACCGCCUAUCCCAAAACCUAUAAGAACUAAUGAUAAUCCCACCACCCUUUGCUGACUCCUUUUUCGGACUCAGCCCCCCCGCACCCAGGUGAAAUAAAC